RNAcentral lists this ribosomal RNA (222 nucleotides) under uncultured bacterium. RNAcentral's name for it is "partial 16S ribosomal RNA". It matches the Rfam family "Bacterial small subunit ribosomal RNA", at positions 524 to 745 of the family's 1533-position model. The record is from RNAcentral.
GACAUAGGUGGCGAACGUUAUCCGGAAUUAUUGGGCGUAAAGGAUGCGUAGAUGGUAGAAUAAGUUACUGGUCGAUGCCAAACUCAAUUUGACGGAAGCUGGUAAUACUGUUCUGCUCGAGGACAGGAGAGGUUGAUGGAAUUCUGUGUGGAGCGGUGAAAUGCGUUGAUCUACAGAGGAACACCAAAAAGGCGAAGGCAGUCAACUAUUCUGUUCCUGACA